Molecule: ribosomal RNA, 508 nt
Filed under: uncultured bacterium
Lineage: Bacteria
Description: bacterial SSU rRNA
Rfam family: Bacterial small subunit ribosomal RNA
Source: RNAcentral
GACGAACGCUGGCGGCGUGGAUUAGGCAUGCAAGUCGAACGGUAUCAUCCUUUCGGGGGUGAGAGAGUGGCGAACUGGUGAGUAACACGUAGGUUAUCUACCCUCAAGACGGGGACAACCCAGGGAAACUUGGGCUAAUACCGGAUGUGAGCAACUUUUAGUUGUUUGAAAGGUGGCGUAAGCUGUCGCUUGGGGAUGAGCCUGCGUCCUAUUAGUUAGUUGGUGAGGUAACGGCUCACCUAGGCAAUGAUAGGUAGGCGGCCUUAACGGGUGGUCGCCCACACUGGGAUUGAGAUACGGCCCAGACUCCUACGGGAGGCAGCAGUCGAGAAUAGUCUACAAUGGUCGGAAGACUGAUAGUGCGACGCCGCGUGAACGAUGAAUCCCUUCGGGGUGUAAAGUUCUUUUAUAUGUGAGCAGUGCUUCUUAUAUUAACAGUAUGGGGAGAGAGAUAUUAGCAUAUGAAUAAGCAACGGCUAAACUCCGUGUCAGCAGCCGCGGUAAAACG